GGAAGGAUCAUUAUUGAAAUAGCAUGACGAGUUGUCGCUGGCCCUUCUUUGACCGUGCACGCUCUGUCGUCCUUCAUUUCUCCAUCUAUUUGUGCACCUCUUGUGUAGACCUUUUCUGAGGGCUUCCUCAGGUCCUUGGGACUGCUUGCAAAAAUGAAUUUUGUGGGCUUUCCUUGUCACUACCACACCACACAUAUACACCAGUGUAGAAGGAAAUGGAAUUUGAUGCAUAAUAUACAACUUUCAGCAACGGAUCUCUUGGCUCUCGCAUCGAUGAAGAACGCAGCGAAAUGCGAUAAGUAAUGUGAAUUGCAGAAUUCAGUGAAUCAUCGAAUCUUUGAACGCAUCUUGCGCUCCUUGGUUAAUCCAAGGAGCAUGCCUGUUUGAGUGUCAUUAAUGUCUCAACCACGCCGUGAGGUCGUGGCUUGGAUUUGGGGGUUACAGGCUCUGAACUUGUGGUCUGCUCCCCUGAAAUACAUGAGCGGUGAACAACCCUCUCCGUCGAGAUGUGAUACAUAUCUGCAUCCAGUUGAGGGUUUUGCUGCUGC
Molecule: unclassified non-coding RNA, 548 nt
Filed under: uncultured Inocybe
Lineage: Eukaryota; Fungi; Basidiomycota; Agaricomycetes; Agaricales; Cortinariaceae
Description: sequence contains ITS1, 5.8S rRNA gene, ITS2
Rfam family: 5.8S ribosomal RNA (bases 239-393)
Source: RNAcentral